Rhinolophus ferrumequinum (greater horseshoe bat) is the source of this 3038-nucleotide long non-coding RNA. The record is from Ensembl. Lineage: Eukaryota; Metazoa; Chordata; Mammalia; Chiroptera; Rhinolophidae.
AUGAAAGUGGCCGUGGCCAGGACUGGCGAAGCUGCCGUCGGGGCGAGGGGCGCAGAGUGCGGCCGCGGCGGGUCUGGAGCCUGGAGCCUGGAGCCUGGAGCCUGGAACCCCGGCCGCAGCCAGCGCCGGGCGAGGUGGCAGCACGGCCUGGACUUCUCUGAACUGCAGGCAGGCCGGGGGCUGGACUGCAGGGAAUCAAGAAAAUGGACUCCCUUCUCCUGGGGACAUGAAUGCCAGCCACCAGCCAAGGUUCUCCAAGCUCUUCCAUUUGCCCCUCCAGAUCUGCUGCCAACCCUCUCCACCUGCUCUAUUCCCUGGGAGGCUGACCUGUAUGCUCUGCAUCAGCCCCUGCCUUGCCUCUGGCUUCUGACAUGUUUGGCCGAUGGCAAGUACUGGAAGGAGAUCAGCAGACACAGGAUUUUUUUUUUUCUUUUCAGGUGCCAGAGUUUGCAGUCUUUUGGAGGAAAAUGAUGUUUCAAGGAGGCUCGCUCACAUCAGCAAGGACGGACCUCUUCCUGCCCCAGUCUCUCACUCCAUCGAGCUGGAAGUGCCUUUUGUCAGGACCACUUGAGACCAUUGAGUGGAUCUGCUUUUGCCAAGAAAUUAAACCAGUGCCUUUCAAACCUGGCUGCACAUUACACUCAUCUGGGAUAUGGAUGUCUGGGCCUCAUCCUCAAAGAUACCGACUGAAUUGAUCUGGGUUAAAAAAAGAAAAAAAAUGAAGUCUUUGUUUGUUACUGAAGGAUAAGUACAUACAAAGAAAGAAAGAAAGAAAAAAAGAAGAGAGGGAAGGAGGGAGGAAAGAAAGAACAGUAAGUGCAAAGCUCAGUGAAUUUUCACAAAGUGCACUUACUUCGAGUAACCAGCAACCAGAUCAAGACACAGAACACUACCCCACAUGCCCCAAAGGGCAAUUGCCAUUCUCACCUCUAAUAGAGUACAUUAGUUUUGCCUGUUUGGAGGCCUUAUGUUGUUUUAAUGGAAUCAUAUAGUAUAUACUACGUACGAUUCGUGUCUGGCUUCUUCCACUCAACGUUGCGUUUGUGAGAUUCACCCAAGCUGUUGCUUAUAUUUGUAGUUCGUUCAUUCUCAUCGCUAUAGAGCAUUCCACCAUAUGGGUAGUCCUCAGUUUACCUGUCCACUCUAACAGUUGAUGGACGUUUGAGUGUUUGGAUUGUUGUCUUCAGUCUGGGGUUAUUACGACUACUGCUGCUUUGAGCACUCGAGUGGUGUCUGUGGGAGCACAUUCGUAUGCUAGUCUGUUGGGCACAAACUUAGACGUGGAAUCGCUGGGUGAGUACGGAUACAAGCAUGUUGAGCUUUCUUAUCUUAUGCCAAUAAUUUUCCAAAGUGACUGUACCAAAUUCACAUACCCUCCAGCUAUGUGUGACGGUUCUGACUGUUUCACAUCUUCGCCAACACUUGCUGUUUUCUGUCUUUUUCAUGUUAGCUAUUCUGGUGGGUAUGUAAUGGUAUCACAAUGUGGUUUUCAUUUGCAUGUCCCUGAUGACUAAUAUAGUGGAACACAUUUUCAUGUGGAUUAGCCAUUUAGAUCCUCUCUUUGCAAAGUGUCUGUGGAAGUAUUUGGACAUGAGUAUUUUUAAGAAGCUCCCUAGGUGGCUCUAAUGCACAGCCAAAGUUGAAAAGCAUUGAACUAAACCGCAAGUCAGUAUCUGCUGCUCUGUUUCUUGAAGACGUGCCCUUGAAUUUAGAGUAUUUUGGCUCUGAGGACCUCAUGGACCUGGGGAAAGAUAACCUUCACCCCCCACACACCAAGAUGAGCCUACCAGGAAGAAGCAAGAGAUUGGAGCUGGAGUUCUGGCAGUUAAGCAUCUUCGGGAAUGUGGCCUCCAGUUCAGAAGGGUCCGGGGAAGGCCUGUGGUAUCCACAGCUGCCACAGACAUUUCCUGACCACAAAAAUGACCCUUGCUGGUCCCCUUGGAGCCCCAGGCAAUCAUGUGGAGGAAGUGGAGGGGCCCCAUGCCAGGUACUUCCCAGUUUCUAGGCCAGAAUGAACGGGACAUAGCUCAUGUGGGGCUUGUGGUCAGGCUGGGGACAGUGGAGCAUGUGUUCCGGGGACCUGGGUGGGGUUGAGGGAGGCCUGCUGUCUGUCGCCUCUCUCCUGGGUGAAAGGGCAGCUGGUGGGGCUCUCCUACAUGGGUGCAGGCCCGGCCAGCUCUUGAAUUCUGGUGAGUUUGCAUACAGGUCCCAGUUGUUGUUUCCUCACCUAUAACCGUCUCCUCUAUCUUCUGCUCUAUCUUCUGGAGGCCCUGCUCCAGGACCUUCCCUGGCCACCCCACCCCUACUUGACCUCUUACUCUUCUGAACCUCUGUAGCACUCAGACUGAGCGCAUACAGUGUGAGUCCUGAUGACACACUACCUUUUUAUCACCAGUAUUCAUCUCAUCCUGCAACUUCAUCCCGGGGACUACUGGGUCCUCCUGUGUGGCAUUUGGUAACUCGGUGACAAUAUCCGCCAACUUGAGAAGGAAGAUGCAAUAAAAAUACAAAUGACACACAGAGUCAGCAUUUUCCUUCCCUCAGACUUGAACUGUGCAGGCGUCAAGCAGAGCUGCGCUGUGUGGGCUCCUUGUGGGCAUGUGUGCCACACAUCUGAUAGGUGAGGAGUUCUGUGCAGUGAGUCUUGGACCACCAGUGGGAGGCUAGCAUGCUGGCACCUGACUCUGUGUGCAUAAAGACCCCUCAGCGGGGCUCUGAGCACCCUGAUGGAGUCCGUUUACCACAGUGCUCAGAAGCCAGGGGUGAGGGGGUCCGUGCCUAUCCCAUGUGCUCUUUGAAAAAAAGCCUGGUCCACCUUCUGCUGACUGAAGUCCUGUCAGCUGUGAGACCUUAGAUGAGGGAUGAGGACACAUGUGGGCAAAGUUGACAUUUUGGAGGCUGGUGAGCACAGAGCCAACUCUGGACUCAGGCCCUUCUUAGAAGUUGCUCUAAGUUGACAUUCAUGUCUGAUAGCCUAAGUGCAGACAUGAUGUUGGGGUUCCCUUGAUUGGCCCUAAUGGUACCUGAACUAACCAGCG